RNAcentral lists this ribosomal RNA (201 nucleotides) under Glomus sp. Aj1. RNAcentral describes it as "partial large subunit ribosomal RNA". It matches the Rfam family "Eukaryotic large subunit ribosomal RNA", at positions 325 to 530 of the family's 3401-position model. Lineage: Eukaryota; Fungi; Glomeromycota; Glomeromycetes; Glomerales; Glomeraceae. The record is from RNAcentral.
GGCGAGAGACGAUAGCGAACAAGUACCGUGAGGGAAAGAGAAAAGAACUUUGAAAAAGAGAGUUAAACAGUACGUGAAAUUGUUGAAAGGGAAACGAUUGAAGUCAGUCAUACUAACGGGAAAUCAACCUCUUGAGUUUGGUCUCGUGGGUUUCGAANAGUUUAAAACCCUCCGAAUUUCCAAAAUGGGGCCCUCCGGUUU